CUACGUGCCAGCAGCCGCGGUAAUACGUAGGUCCCGAGCGUUGUCCGGAUUUAUUGGGCGUAAAGCGAGCGCAGGCGGUUAGAUAAGUCUGAAGUUAAAGGCUGUGGCUUAACCAUAGUACGCUUUGGAAACUGUUUAACUUGAGUGCAGAAGGGGAGAGUGGAAUUCCAUGUGUAGCGGUGAAAUGCGUAGAUAUAUGGAGGAACACCGGUGGCGAAAGCGGCUCUCUGGUCUGUAACUGACGCUGAGGCUCGAAAGCGUGGGGAGCAAACAGGAUUAGAUACCCUGGUAGUCCACGCCGUAAACGAUGAGUGCUAGGUGUUGGGUCCUUUCCGGGACUCAGUGCCGCAGCUAACGCAAUAAGUACCCCGCCUGGGGAGUACGACCGCAAGGUUGAAACUCAAAGGAAUUGACGGGGGCCCGCACAAGCGGUGGAGUAUGUGGUUUAAUUCGACGCAACGCGAAGAACCUUACCAGGUCUUGACAUUGAUGGACAGAACUAGAGAUAG
Molecule: ribosomal RNA, 509 nt
Filed under: uncultured bacterium
Lineage: Bacteria
Description: bacterial SSU rRNA
Rfam family: Bacterial small subunit ribosomal RNA
Source: RNAcentral